Molecule: transfer RNA, 61 nt
Filed under: Amblythyreus gestroi
Lineage: Eukaryota; Metazoa; Arthropoda; Insecta; Hemiptera; Phymatidae
Description: tRNA-Gly
Source: RNAcentral
AUUCUUUUAGUAUAAUAAGUAUAUUUAACUUCCAAUUAAAAGGUCUAUUUUAGAAAGAAUA